GUGUCUGUGGACAAAUCACACGUGAUGCAACUUGUCCUUUCGGUUGUGUACAAAUAUUCGCAGUUGUAUACAUUUAUAGAGAAAUAAUACUGUUUAAUAGUCUACGGUUUAAAACAUAAACGGUAAAUAUUAUACCGUCUUUGCAUCAUCUACGGAAGCAGGCGAGGACCAAACAUGUCGACAGUACGAAAAACUGGGCAGUUGUUUGUGAUGGACUACAGAGUGAAAGUAGCAGUUCCUCCUUAAGGUCAGAGAUGGCAGCAUCUGAGGGCCUCUUCAAAAGAAGACGUAGUUGAUGAAGGCGUUCUGGAGCAGGACCAGAAAGACCAUGACCGAGCAGCCUUGAGAUCUUAGGCAGCGUCUCCCUGAGACAUCCACCAACCACUGGAACACAUCUCCAAAGUUCUGCCGGGCCAGCUCAGCUUCCCCUCAGAAGAAGUGCUGCCACCUGCCAGAUGAAGGAGCCUUUUGAGAGGCAGCUGGCAUCGUGAUUGGACUGUACUUUGGUCUGUUCCAGUCCAGCUUCAGCUCCAGAGACGGCAGGCGGGACGAGUCAACGGAGGCCUGGUGGACGAAGGCAUGCAGCUGAGUACAAUCCAGAAAACAACAGAGGAGGAGUGCAGCGGCCCAGAGCCAGAACAAACAGAGUAGCAUCACCAAAGAACUACAGACUCUUCACAACCUGCUCAAACUCUUGGUACAGGACCUCACCACACGGGUCAAGAAGGUUUCCUUCUCAUUGCUGCUCUGAAGCUCACCUUCUCCUGCUCAAACUGCUGACAAAUGUUUCUGCUGCUCUAAAGUCUGGUCUCCAGAACUUCCUAAAAACUCUCAAAGUCUCUUCUGCUGCAGGUUGCUAUGUAGAACUGUUCCAGAAAACCUCACUAAACCACAUGGAGGGGCCUCAAGAUAGUCGUCCAAAUGAAACAGUACAAAAACCAAACUAGCACAACCCAAACGCUAAAGUCUCCUGCAGCCUACCAGAGAACCUCUGAGAACAGAGAAUCAGGACAGGAACUCUUACCUUCUGGACAACCAACGGUGGUUCUCAAACAAGAAUACAGAAUGUGUCUGACCAAAAACCUCUAAAGACUCACUACAGCCAAGAUAAAGACACAACUCAGCUGUACCAAAUCCACUAAUCACUGCACACAUUAGUACCAUGUGCUAACUGUGUCUAAAGAACCACAUUUACCAAGACAACUAUCCAGUACAAAGUCCUAAAACACACCAAGAAACACAUUAAAGACGAUUUUACUGCUGGAAGCUGCAAGCCAACACCUAAAGAACAAACUCAAGCAAUGGAGCCAAACCCGGUUCAGUGGUGAAGUGAAGCAGAGGAAAUGUGUUGUCUGCAGCUAAAUAAAGCAGGAAGACACUGAGCUGCUCAGGUGUUCCUGAUAACACCAAGCAGCCACCUGGACAGCCAAUAGGAACACAGCUUACUGGAAGUCCAGAGGGCUGGGUUAGUGAAGGAAAUUUAGUUUAAAGUUGAGGCAGAAAGUUAACAAAGAAAGUUGAAAACCACCUUCUGAUACCUGAAAUCUCUGAGUUUUCACACAAAGAACACCUGAACAUGUCAAACUGGUUUCAUAGUAGAACCAUCAUUGUAAAAACGUCACAGUAUGGUGUGUUGCUCAAAAAACAUUAGGACCCGGCUGUCUAGGGUCGCUGAGAAGCAACACAAAAACAGGACAAACGCUGGUUUCCAGGGGGUUAGACGGCUAUUUAUUUGAAAGAGUAAGUUUACAACAACACAACAUGUGAGCGGAAAAAUCACAAAGUCUUUAGUUCAGCUGACAAUAUUAGUUUUUGUCUUUUUUAUUGACCAAACUUUUCAGGAAGUAGAUGAAGAAUAAUUAAAGCUCUCAUGUAGAAGUCCAACUUAUUUUGGAUCCUUGUGGAGAGUUUAAUCUUAGAGUUUGUAAAGCUGUUGAGUUUUUAGAGUCACAUGGAUUGUUUUGACAUUUAGUAACCGAGUCCUGAAAUAAAAUUACAGUGGAUUUCUGUCAUUUAGUCUGGACUAAACAAAUAACAGCAGCAUAAAUCUCAAACGUCAUUAUGAGGAGUCUGGAUUGAGGUUUCUCACUUGAUAAUGAUCAAAACAUGAAAUUUAGGUUGGUUUAAAGGAAUAUUUCACCUUAAAUCUUUGAAUGUUGACCUAAAAGGUUGGUUUCAGGAAGUAUUCCACCUGCAAGGUCCUCAAACAUCCACCUUAAAGGAACAUUCACAAAAAAUCCUUGGACAUGCACCUAAAAUGUUGGUUUAACUGAGUAUUCCAUCCAAAAUCCUAGACCAAAAAAUCUUGGCGUAAAGGAGUAUUCCACCUUAAAUGUAGACCUAAAGGAUGGUUUGGAGUAAUAUUCUACUCUAAAAUCUUCCAAUGUAGACCUAAAAGGUUUAUCUGAUGGUAUAUUCUACCCAACAUCCUGGAACAUUUACCUAAAAGGUUGGUUUAAUGGUAUAUUACCAGAAGAACCCUUGAACAUUGGGCUUAAUGGUAUAUUCCACUCAAAAUAUCAAGAAGUCAGUGUAAAGGAAAUGUAGACCUGAAAGGAUUGUUUAAAGGAACAUUUAAAUGAUUAUUUUCAUUAUUUAAUAAUCUGUUAUCAGUCAGAACCCUGGCAAACUUAUUUUCAUCAGUUUUUUGAGUGGAAGUCACAAAUAAAGUAGCUGUUUUCAUUUU
Long non-coding RNA from Amphiprion ocellaris (clown anemonefish), 2686 nucleotides. RefSeq lists it as uncharacterized. The record is from RefSeq and is a predicted model, not a curated record. The transcript has 4 exons. Lineage: Eukaryota; Metazoa; Chordata; Actinopteri; Pomacentridae.